This 232-nucleotide long non-coding RNA is filed under the name Zonotrichia albicollis (white-throated sparrow). RNAcentral describes it as "lncRNA (ENSZALG00000001081.1)". Lineage: Eukaryota; Metazoa; Chordata; Aves; Passeriformes; Passerellidae. The record is from RNAcentral.
GCCUUUUGGCUUGGUGACAGUGACAUUGCUGCAGCCUGGGUGACAUUGCUGCAGCCCCUCAGCUGGGUGACAUGGUGACAUUGCUGCAGCCUUUUGGCUUGGUGACAGUGACAUUCUUGCAGACACUCAGCCUGGGUGACAGGGUGACACUGCUGCAGCCCCUCAGCUGGGUGACAGGGUGCCACUGCUGCAGUUACUCAGCCUGGGUGACACGGUGACAAUGCUGCAGCCC